GCAAGUUAUAUCCUCAGAUAGUGGUCUAAUAUCCAACUCCAUGCACUGUCGGGAAACCAAUUAUUUUCAAACGAUUAAUAUUACAAGUCAUGAUCCAGAAGCUUUGAUGUCCUUUUCAUUCGCUUUAAAACUGAAGUUUUAGGGUCUAACCCUUGCUUCUUUGAUUUACGUUUCUCAAGUUUUGCAGUCUGUAUUGAGUCCCAAUUUAGUUUUAGCUGUAUGUGCUUAUAUUUAACAAACCAACUAUACUAUGCAUAUGCUUGGGUGGUUAGUCGUUUUUCCCCAACACAUUUUAAUUACUUUUGCAUCUUCUAUGUCUUUUUUGUUAUGACAGAGAAUUACUGAGCAAGCUGGGGUCGUUCUCACACUUGACCCGAAACCAAUUGAUGUAAGCUAGAUCAUGUACAAGUGCAGUUAUACAUCAUGGUUAGAUAUUAUAAAGAAUAUUAUCUAAUCUCUUAUUUGAAUCUGCAGGGUGACUGGAAUGGAGCAGGCUGCCACACCAACUACAGGUACUUCUGUGCUUUAUUAAUAUGUAUUCAAGCUGCUUAUUACUAUAUGAACUGAUGGAAUAUAAGCACUGUCAGAAAAUCAAUGUUUAACUUAACAUUCUUUGGAAUCACAGUACAAAAAGUAUGAGAGAGGAGGGAGGCUUUGAAGUAAUUAAGAAAGCAAUCUUAAACCUUUCACUUCGCCACAAAGAGCACAUCAGUGCAUAUGGAGAAGGAAAUGAGAGAAGAUUGACAGGAAAGCAUGAAACUGCGAGCAUUGACAGCUUUUCUUGGGUAUGUGUUGAUAGUGUUGGCAUUUAAUUCUGCAAAAACAGACAAGAGUGUAGAUGUAAAAUAUUCUAUUCCAAUUCUAAUUUGGUAACAUGACUUUAUCAUGCAGGGAGUUGCUGACCGUGGUUGCUCAAUCCGUGUGGGGCGUGAUACUGAGAAGGAAGGCAAAGGUAGGCCCUGUAAUUGGCAAAACUAGAAAAAAACUGGCAUAGCUAUUAAAAGUUCUUAUACAGUUGUUAGCUACCAAAUGAACAAAUUUUGUGCAGUUUUUUUGUCUAUACUUAUAUUUUGGUAUCUUCAAAACCAAGUUUGUCAAUUAGUACUUAUUGAUACCUUCAUCUUUUUCUUACUAUCCUUUCUAUUGUAUGGCAGGUUACUUGGAGGAUCGGCGCCCUGCUUCAAACAUGGACCCAUAUGUUGUGACUGGUUUACUUGCUGAAACUACAUUACUGUGGGAGCCAACACUUGAAGCUGAAGCUCUUGCUGCACAGAAACUAUCUUUGAAUGUCUAGAUUCAGUUCAAGAUAAAUUUACAUUUUCCACAAAAUUCAUUGUCGUCAGUUGAACCGCCUCCUGCUUUCUUUGGAUCAUUAGUUGAUAAUUUCUGUAAAUAAAGGGAGCCCCAGUGGUUAACCUUUCCUUCUAUUAUGAAAGACAUUCUUGGAGGUCAUUAGGUGUUCAAAAGAAUAAUUAUGAUGAUUUUGAGAAUACUCUACCCGGAAGCAAUUGUCAUCAAGUUCUGAGCCUG
This 1530-nucleotide long non-coding RNA is filed under the name Daucus carota (carrot). RNAcentral describes it as "long non-coding RNA (DCAR_LNC005822)". The record is from RNAcentral. Lineage: Eukaryota; Viridiplantae; Streptophyta; Magnoliopsida; Apiales; Apiaceae.